AACGCACCUUGCGCCCUUUGGUAUUCCGAAGGGCAUGCCUGUUUGAGUGUCGUGAAACUCUCAACCCCCUCGUUUUGUAAUGAAUCGAGUGCGGGCUUGGAUUGUGGUCGUCUGCCGGUCUUCAAUUGAUCAGCUCGACUGAAAUACAUGAGCGUACCUGUAGUUGGUAGCAGUAGCUUAUCCUGGCGUGAUAUAUUUAUUCGCCGAGACUGUUACAUGCAUUACUCCAAUCUCAGCGGCGCUAUAUAAUGCCGUGCGGCUUUUUAGCCAAUCGAUCCUAACUCAUAGACCUCAGAUCAGGCAGGGCUACCCGCUGAACUUAA
Molecule: unclassified non-coding RNA, 323 nt
Filed under: Venturia sp. (in: ascomycete fungi)
Lineage: Eukaryota; Fungi; Ascomycota; Dothideomycetes; Venturiales; Venturiaceae
Description: partial contains 5.8S ribosomal RNA, internal transcribed spacer 2, and large subunit ribosomal RNA
Rfam family: 5.8S ribosomal RNA (bases 1-52)
Source: RNAcentral